AGUCCUCCUCGGCGCCCACCGGCUCCGGGCUCUGGGAUUGUAAGGGACCCCUGCAGUCCCCAGAGCUGAGGCCAGCAGGGGCAGAGACUAUGAGCCCAGCAGCCCAUCGACCCAGGCCUCCUUAGGACCAGCCCAGCCAGCAGCCAGGCAAGUGAGCAGCAGCGGAGAGGGGAGCAGGAGAUAAAGGACCGGCGGAUCACUGGGGCUCACCCCCCACAGCUCCCGAGGACCCUAGCCAGGCUGAGGGGUCGUGACGGAUGGCCAGACUCACCGACACACACAGCAUCAAUACACCCAGCUGCAAGACACUGACACACUCAGCUACAACCAGUGACAGCAUCACACAUUGCCACAGCCCUGCAAUACAGACACCCACCCACCCACACACACACAGAAACAACUGGCAACUCUGAAACAGGCACAGACGGUGACACACAGCGUCACCACCCUCCACACACACAAGUGGGGGCACCCUCCUCUAAACACGGACAGACUUGGGGACGCACACGCAUACCCUCACCCGGGCACUGGCUGCUUGGUGGCCUCCCCACCCCCACAGGGACACCCUCGCCUCUCCACAUACUCACGCACACAGCUGCGAGCAAACAGCGCUUGCACACCCCGGGUCCAGCUCCUGCAACCCCGACGCCUUCUGAAGCCUCCUUUGCGGGGGAGGAAGCACUCAGCCAGCCUUGGAUGGAGCCUCGGUGAAGCCAGGAGCUCAGAGGGGAAAGGGUCUGGCCCGGCAGGACACUCACCAACCACCCACCGUGGCUGAGUGAUGUCCCCCGGCCCAGGUUCUGGGGCCCCUUGGACCUACCAUGGAGCAACUGACAACCUUCCCACCACCUGGGGACCCCAGAGCCGUGGAGCCAUGGCCAUUGCCCAGCUGGCAGAGCUGGACUCCGGGCCAAGGGGGCGAACCGGGAGUCGCAGCCCCAAGCAUCGCUGCUACUCCGGCAGCUCGGCAGCUCGGCAAACUGAGGCCUGAGGAGAGUCCCAAGGCGGAGGGAGCCCGGAGCCCUGGUGCCAUGGCGGGCACCGACCCUGAGGGAACAGAGGCUGGUCUGCUUAGCCAGGGGCAGCAAGCAGCGAGCCCUGGACCCGGGCACCUGAAGCUACAGGAUAAGGAGGUGGAGGCUUUCCCUAAGGCCACGCCGAACGUGGGCUUUGGGGACAGGCCCAACGUGGAGCUGCUGAGGGCCCUGGGGGAGCUGCAGCAGCGCUGUGCCAUCCUUAAGGAGGAAAACCAGAUGCUGAGAAAGAGCAGCUUUCCCGAGACGGAGGAGAAAGUGCGGAGGCUGAAGCGGAAGAACGCCGAGCUGGCGGUCAUUGCCAAGCGCCUGGAGGAGAGGGCACGGAAGCUGCACGAAACGAACCUGCGGGUGGUGAGUGCCCCUCUGCCCCACCCGGGAGCCAGCUUGGACUUGUGUCACAAGGCCCUAGCCCGCCAGCGAGCCCGGGACCUCAGCGAGACAGCCAGCGCACUGCUGGCCAAGGACAUGCAGAUUGCUUCCUUGCAGCGGGAGUGCAGGGAGCUGCAGGCCAGGCUCACCCUGGUGGGCAAGGAGGGUCCCCAGUGGCUCCACGUGCGGGACUUCGAUCGGCUGCUGCGCGAGUCGCAGCGGGAGGUGCUGCGGCUGCAGAGGCAGAUCGCCUUGCGCAACCAGCAGGGGCCACCUCCGCCGCCCCGGCCUCCAGGCCCCGCAGUCCCGGUCACCAGAGCAGGGGCACCGGCCCCUGGGGCCCCGGGAGAGGUGCCAGCCCCUGCCCCUGGGCAUUUCCAGGCCGCAUCCCAGCAGGAUGUGGACAACCCAGCGGUGGUCCUAGGGGAGCCAGAGAAACAGCAGAGGGUGCAGCAGCUGGAGUCGGAGCUCAGCAAGAAGCGGAAGAAAUGCGAGAGCCUGGAGCAGGAAGCCCGGAAAAAGCAGAGGCGAUGUGAGGAGCUGGAGCUGCAGUUGAGAGAAGCCCAGAACGAGAAUGCCCGCCUGGCGGAGGAGAACUCGCGGCUGCACGGGAGAGCCACAGAGAAGGAGCAGGUGGAGUGGGAGAAUGCGGAGCUGAGGGGCCAGCUCCUGGGGGUGACGCAGGAGAGGGACUCAGCCCUUCGCAAGAGUCAGGGCCUGCAGAGCAAGCUGGAGAGCCUGGAGCAGGUGCUGAAGCAUAUGCGGGAGGUGGCCCAGCGGCGGCAGCAGCUGGAGGUGGAGCAUGAGCAGGCUCGGCUCAGCCUGCGGGAGAAGCAGGAGGAGGUCCAGAGGCUGCAGCAGGCCCAGGCAGAAGCCAAGAGGGAACAUGAAGGCGCCGUGCAGCUGCUGGAGUCCACCUUGGAUUCCAUGCAGGCCCGGGUUCGAGAGCUCGAGGAGCAGUGCCGGAGCCAAACCGAGCGCUUCAGCCUCCUGGCGCAGGAGCUCCAGGCCUUCCGCCUGCACCCUGGCCCCUUGGAUCUGCUCACAUCCGCUCUGGGCUGUGGUGCCCUCGGAGACCAGCCACCACCCCCCUGCUGCUGCUCUACCCCCCAGCCCUGCCAGGGGUCUGGCCCCAAAGACCUUGACCUCCCGCCAGGCUCUCCAGGGCGCUGCACCCCAAAGUCUUCUGAGCCCGCCCCUGCCACUCUCAUUGGAAUCCCUCGAAGGUCAGCCAAGAAAGCCGAGUCUCUCUCCAACUCCUCUCGCUCCGAAUCUGUCCACAACAGCCCCAAGUCAUGCCCUACGCCCGAGGUGGAUACCGCCAGCGAGGUGGAAGAGCUGGAGGCAGACAGUGUCUCCCUGCUCCCAGCAGCACCGGAGGGUGGCCGGGGAGGAGCCAGGAUCCAGGUCUUCCUGGCACGCUACAGCUACAACCCCUUCGAGGGCCCCAAUGAGAAUCCAGAGGCAGAGCUGCCGCUGACAGCUGGCGAGUACAUCUAUGUCUACGGAAGCAUGGACGAGGAUGGGUUUUUUGAAGGGGAGCUCAUGGAUGGCCGACGGGGCCUGGUCCCUUCCAAUUUUGUCGAGCGCGUGUCCGAUGACGACCUCCUGACCUCCCUGCCUCCGGAGCUGGCCGAUCUGUCCCACAGCUCAGGCCCCGAACUCAGUUUCCUGAGCGGAGCUGGGGGCGGCAGCAGCAGUGGGGGGCAGAGCAGCGGGGGCCGCAGCCAGCCCAGGCCCGAGGAGGAGGAGAAGGAGGCCGCAGCGGAGGAGCUCAGUGGGAGCCCCCAGCCCGAGGGUCUGGGCGAGCCUCCCGCCGUGCCUUAUCCCCGCCGCCUGGAGGUUCUCAAGCAGCUGGCCCACAGCGUGGUGCUGGCCUGGGAGCCGCCGCCGGAGCGAGUGGAACUGCACGGCUUCCGUAUCUGCGUGAACGGGGAGCUACGUCAGGCCCUGGGGCCCGGGGCGCCCCCUAAGGCUGUGCUUGAGAACCUGGACCUGCGGGCCGGGCCCCUGCAUGUUUCUGUGCAGGCGCUGACCAGCAGGGGCGGCUCGGACCCUCUGCGCUGUUGUCUGGCCUUGGGUGCCGGGGCUGGGGUGGUCCCUAGCCAGCUGCGGGUCCAUAGGCUGACAGCCACGUCUGCUGAGAUCACCUGGGUGCCUGGCAACAGCAACUUGGCCCAUGCCAUCUACCUCAAUGGGGAGGAGUGUCCGCCUGCCCGCCCCAGCACCUACUGGACCACCUUCUGCAACCUGCGGCCUGGCACACUCUACCAGGCCCGAGUGGAGGCCCAGCUCCCACCCCGCGGGUCCUGGGAGCCAGGCUGGGAGAAGCCGGAGCUACGAGCUGCCUCCCUGCAGUUCACCACCCUCCCGGCAGGCCCACCUGAUGCCCCCCUGGAUGUGCAGAUCGAGCCAGGGCCCUCCCCUGGAAUCUUGAUCAUCAGCUGGCUUCCGGUCACCAUCGAUGCUGCCGGGACCUCCAAUGGUGUCCGGGUCACGGGCUAUGCCAUCUAUGCCGACGGGCAAAAGAUCAUGGAGGUGGCCUCGCCCACCGCAGGCAGCGUGCUGGUGGAGCUGUCCCAGCUGCAGCUGCUGCAGGUGUGCCACCAGGUCACCGUGCGCACCAUGUCGCCCCACGGCGAAUCGGCUGACUCCAUCCCCGCUCCUGUCGCCUCGGCCCUAUCUCCAGCCUGCCUGCUUGCCAGGGUCUCCUGCCCCUCACCACGACCUAGCCCAGAGGCCAGACCACCUCCUGCUCCGGCCUCCCCAGGGCUUGGAGACCCCAGCUCUCCCCUCCGGUGCCCUGCUCCCCAUGGAACUCAAGAUCCACCAGGGGGGCCUCCAACAAGCCCUGGCAGAGAGACGCCAAGGGGACCCCGAGAGGAACCGCUAGCGCCUUGCUCCCAGGGGGAAGCUGGGGGAGCUGCUCUGGGCACUGCAGAGCGGGGCACCGGCGAGCCAAGCCUGGCUGAGGGAGGCCCUGGCCCUGCGGCUCCCUCCCUGGCCAAGCAGGAAGCUGAGUGGACUGCGAGAGAGGCCUGCCUGGCCCCCUGCUCCAGGCAGGGGGCACUGGUGCAGAGGACGCCCGGUACUGAGGCCUGCUGCGGAGGAGAUGCAGGGUCGGCGCUGAGAACUAGGGCCGAGAGGGAGGACACGGCAGAGCUCGGGGGUCGUCUGGUGAACCCCCUUGUGGAUCACGGCCGCAACUCAGACCUGUCAGAUAUCCAGGAGGAGGAGGAGGAGGAAGAAGAGGAAGAGGAGCUGGGUUCUAGGACCCGUUCCUUCCAGAAGCAGGUUGCUGGCGACAGCACCAGGGAGAGUGGGGCCAAGCCCCAGCCUGACCCCUUUUGUGAGACUGACAGUGAUGAGGAGAUCCUGGAGCAGAUCCUGGAGCUGCCCCUCCAGCAGUUCUGCAGCAAGGAGCUCUUUAGCAUCCCAGAGGAGGAGGAGGAGGAGGAAGAGGAAGACGAGGAGGAGGAGCAGCGGCGGGCAGGCCAUUCUUCCAGAGCCCCUGGGCCGCCUGAACCUGCUCUGCUGGGGCUUGGCUGUGACGGCGGCCAGCCCCAAGGACCCGGCCUGUGUUCCUUGGCUGCAGAGCCCUCCAGGGGCGGGGACCGCCUGGAGGACGUGCCUGGAGUAGUUGGCGGAAGCAGCCGGAGGAGAGGAGGGGGCUCCCCGGAGAAGCCCCCGAGCCGCAGGCGGCCUCCAGACCCCCGUGAACACUGUAGCCGGCUCCUUAGCAGCAGCGGGCCCCAGUGUCCUGGGCGGCCGGGCCCCACGCGGGAGAGGGGCGGCUCCUCAGUUGUUGAGGGCACCAAGGUUGGCCUUGAGGCUGGCGGGAGAGGUCGGCUGGCUCCUUCCCGAAGGUGCCCGCGAGGCCGGGCCCCGGAAUCCGGCCUGGCCAGCUGCCUCUCCCCCAAAUGCUUGGAAAUCAGCAUCGAGUAUGACUCCGACGAUGAGCAGGAGGCGGGCAGUGGGGGCGUCAGCAUCAGCAGCUCCUGCUACCCUGGAGACGGGGAGGCCUGGGCCACUGUACCUGGAGCCAGGCCCAGGGGCCCUGUGAAGGCCAGUCCAGGCCCCAGCCCCUCCUCCCGCCUCCCAGCCUGGGAGAAAGGGGAGCUGGAACGGAGAGGCCGCAGCACGACUGGCAGAGCCAAGGAGCCCCCCUCGCGGGCAACAGAGCCUGGGGAACCCAGAAUGCAGGACAGCUCUGGGAGGAGGGGCUUCCAGCGGAGAGGGGCCCGGGGCCCCCGGCCAGGUGCCACAGAGCUGGCCCCUCUGAGGAGCCCUCCAGAAACACUGGCUUCCCAGGACCUGCCUGUCAGGGUCUUUGUGGCCCUGUUUGAUUAUGACCCCGUGUCGAUGUCACCCAACCCCGACGCUGGAGAAGAGGAGCUCCCGUUCCGGGAGGGCCAGGUCCUGAAGGUGUUUGGGGACAAGGAUGCCGAUGGCUUCUACCGGGGUGAAGGCGGAGGCCGCACGGGCUACAUCCCCUGCAACAUGGUGGCUGAGGUGGCCGUGGACAGUGCCGCGGGGAAGCAGCAGCUGCUCCAGCAGGGCUACCUGGCUGCAGAGACCCUCCCCGAGGCCUCAGGAAACGGUCCCUUUGUGUACUCCACAGCCCGCAUAGCUGGGCCUCCGCCCAAGCCCCGCCGCGCCAAGAAAGCAGAGGCCGACAACCCUGUCCAACCCGGUCCAGGGCCCCCCCAGCCAGUCCCCUCCGCUUGCCUGAAAUCUGCGCACUCCAUGGUGGCUGCGUUUGACUACAACCCCCGGGAGAACUCCCCCAAUAUGGACGUGGAGGCAGAGCUGCCCUUCCGGGCAGGGGACGUCAUCACCGUGUUCGGGGGCAUGGACGACGACGGUUUCUACUAUGGGGAAUUGAACGGACAAAGGGGCCUGGUUCCAUCCAACUUCCUGGAGGGCCCUGGGCCCGAGGCGGGAGGCCCAGACAGAGAGCCUGGGAUGUCCCAGGCCGAGAUUCAGAGAACGAGGAGGAGAAGAGUCCAGUGCUAGAUGGAGAUAGAUAUAUGUAGAGAGAGCGACAUCUGUCAUGGGGAUGUGUGUCAUCUUAGCCUGUGCCGUCCCACAUUGGCCGACCACUCGUGUUCCAGUGCACACGCGGGUUGUGGAGCACCAUGUGACAUCCAAGCUGCGACUCAUCCGUGGACUGGGUCAGCAGCACACCAGGGCCCCUGAGGCUCCCCGGCUGGGCCUGUGUCCCCGGCGCUGACAGUCCUGCUAGCAUCAAUCCGGGGCCGCCCCAGGGCUCCAGUGAGACGGUCCGGGGCCUCCUCUCCAUGGGGAAGCAGCUGCUCAGGAGGCUGGGCUCUGGGAAGAAGGAGUGAAGCCGUGGCCCAUGCCGCAGGCCCCAGAGCCCUCCAGAGGCCCCCCGGGACCCCCAUCGCUGUCACGGCCGGGCCCAGGACGCCCGCUCUUCUGCGUAAACAACGGGGGCGCUUGGUGAGGGUCAGGGCUAGACGGGUCCUUACAGGUGCAUCCUCGGCUGGGCCCCUUCCUCCUGUCACAGGGGAAACUGAGCCUCACAGCGAGUAAGUAGUGUGGCCCCGGCCACUGAGCACCUCGGCCACGCCAGGCCCGGACCCAGACUCCAGACUCCUACACUGGCCGGCUCAUCUGCUCUUGGUUCCCCACCAUACUGUGCAAGUCCCUCCUUGGGCCCCCCCAGCCCGGGCUGGGGAGCUUGAGGGGAGAAAGGGCCCAUUCCCUGUGGUGGCUCUGGCCGUCCCUAUAGUGUCUUCCCUGCCCCAAAGGAACGUGUGCCCCGGAUGCUCCCCAGGCCCCUGCGCGGGCAGGCGGUGAGCCGUGUAUAUAUUGUACAUACUCAGUGCCUCAGUCCAGCUUCCUUCCUCUGCUUCCCCACGCGGCCAAGUCCUUGCCAAAGCGGCCUGCCCCCACCCACAGUGCUCCACCGCCCUGCCCAGGGCCUUCUGGCCCCGAGCCCCAGGGGCCAGUGGGCAGCAAGCAGGAGCUGGGUUUGCCUUAUUUUGCUCAUUGGAUUCAAGUUCUCGUUUGCAUCGUUCUCCUCUGGCCUCUGUCAGAUUCCAGGGCUGGGGGGAAGGACAGAUUUCUGCAGCUAUUUUCAUACAUCCCCUUACAUACACAUAGUGGGGCGGGGCCGCUGCGCCCCCACCCCAGCCCCCAGCCCCUGCCCGUGCCUGGGUGAGCGUCUCUUGCAUGUUUCCUUUGCCAUGGUGGGAGAUCGUCUGACUGGACCCCACCCCCACCUGGGUCUCCAGGAGCGUGGACUGGUGGGGGUGUUUGUUUAAAAAGACAUUUUAUUAUAAUAAAGUCUAUUUUCACAAAAUCUA
RNA transcript from Oryctolagus cuniculus (rabbit), 7738 nucleotides. It is a transcript of the gene named TSPO associated protein 1, with no coding region annotated. NCBI's taxonomy places the organism in Eukaryota, Metazoa, Chordata, Mammalia, Lagomorpha, Leporidae. The record is from RefSeq and is a predicted model, not a curated record.